AGAUUAAGUUAUUAAGGGCGCACGGUGGAUGCCUUGGCACUAGAAGCCGAUGAAGGACGUUACUAACGACGAUAUGCUUUGGGGAGCUGUAAGUAAGCUUUGAUCCAGAGAUUUCCGAAUGGGGAAACCCAGCAUGAGUUAUGUCAUGUUAUCGAUAUGUGAAUACAUAGCAUAUCAGAAGGCACACCCGGAGAACUGAAACAUCUUAGUACCCGGAGGAAGAGAAAGAAAAUUCGAUUCCCUUAGUAGCGGCGAGCGAA
RNAcentral lists this ribosomal RNA (260 nucleotides) under Staphylococcus aureus. RNAcentral's name for it is "partial 23S ribosomal RNA". It matches the Rfam family "Bacterial large subunit ribosomal RNA", at positions 1 to 257 of the family's 2925-position model. The record is from RNAcentral. Lineage: Bacteria; Bacillati; Bacillota; Bacilli; Caryophanales; Staphylococcaceae.